AUGGUGAUAAUGGGAAAGAUCCUAGAGUUGGCGGCAGUGUCGGUGGAACUAGUGCAGUUACCAAGAACUCAACCCAACACUCACCAAGGUAAACAGGGUAGUUGAGGAUACUUGGUUCGAGGCUUUAGGAGCUUAGGACUUGAAUCCUCUAUUUUACCUUUUUGUGUUGUAAAAUUGCUAUUUGGAUGAUUGUAUUCGUAAUCAUUUAACUUACUAACAUUUUUGUGUAAUGCUGGAUAUUAGUAACUAUGGGUAUUUUGGAAACCCAUAAUUAAACAUAUGCGGUAAUUACCGAUGAAAGUUAUAUAUGAAUUAUGUUUUCCGCAAUAUGAGAUAUAUGUUAACAUCAUGUACUAUAAAGGUAGUUUUACGAAGUGAUUAUGAAGGAAAAUUAGAGUAAGAUGUGAAAUGUAUGUAUAAAAGGAUUGAAAUAAAGGAAAAAUUUUCAAGGUAGAAUUUGGGUCCUUACAAGGGGAGCAUACAUAUAGGGGGAGCAUACCCAAGACAAGUUAGGAUAUAUCAUCCAAUAUGCUACUCUAAAAAAAUACACCUUCAAGAAGAUAUUGGUUUGUCAUCAUAAAAAGUGGGAGAUUGUGAAGAAGAUCUUGCUCUUGACCUUGGCACGGUUUUGAUGAAGACACCAACAUCACAAAAAGAAGAAAGGAAGAAGACCUACCAAGGCUAUCGAAGACAAAGCUUCAAGAUUUAGAGUCUAAGUCUUUAGGUACUUCUAGCCUUACAACUACUGUAUUAUCUUAGUUAAUAAUGUUCAAAAUUGUUUUCAAGAAAAUCAGAAAAAUCAAAGUGUGAAUAAAAAUAAUUUUCAAAACAACAUGUAACGGGUUACCAUACUUGAGUAACAAGUUACAUGAGUGAGAAAAAGACUUAUCCAUCCUCCAACGGCUAAGAGUAAUCCAUUAUUGUCUUUGAAGUAACAGAUUACCAUUUUUAGAAAACAGGGUAAUCGAUUACUCAAAGAAGUGUAAUCGAUUACAUUAAGGCAAUUUCACAAAGCUGCUAGACAGUACCUUUGAGUAAUCGACUACUCAAAUACAGUAAUCGAUUACACUGUGU
Lupinus albus (white lupine) is the source of this 1074-nucleotide non-coding RNA. NCBI's taxonomy places the organism in Eukaryota, Viridiplantae, Streptophyta, Magnoliopsida, Fabales, Fabaceae. The record is from the annotation of a GenBank genome assembly.